RNAcentral lists this transfer RNA (75 nucleotides) under Flavobacteriales bacterium. RNAcentral describes it as "tRNA-Cys". It matches the Rfam family "tRNA". From Rfam's summary of the family: Transfer RNA (tRNA) molecules are approximately 80 nucleotides in length. The record is from RNAcentral. Lineage: Bacteria; Pseudomonadati; Bacteroidota; Flavobacteriia; Flavobacteriales.
GGCGGUGUACCCGAGCGGUCUAAGGGGAACGGAUUACAAAUCCGUUAUUCGUGGGUUCGAAUCCCACCACCGCCU